Molecule: non-coding RNA, 73 nt
Organism: Podarcis muralis (Common wall lizard)
Lineage: Eukaryota; Metazoa; Chordata; Lepidosauria; Squamata; Lacertidae
Source: the annotation of a RefSeq genome assembly
CCUGGGGUAGCUCAGUUGGUAGAGCGUGAGACUCUCAAUCUCAAGGUGAUGGGUUCGAGCCCCAUGUUGGGCA